This 603-nucleotide long non-coding RNA is filed under the name Brassica napus (rape). Its description in RNAcentral is "long non-coding RNA (BNAP_LNC004199)". The record is from RNAcentral. Lineage: Eukaryota; Viridiplantae; Streptophyta; Magnoliopsida; Brassicales; Brassicaceae.
GGUUGAAUUUUACGGUUUAGGGUUUAAUGGAUAUUGUUUAAGGAGUAGUGUUUAAGUUUUAGAGUUUGAUGUUUAGGGUUUAAGGGUAUGAUUUAACGGUUAGGAUUUAAGAUUUAUGGUUUAAGGAUAUGAUUUAGCGUUUAAUGUUUAGGAUUUAGGGUUAUGUUUUUUUUGGCAUCUUAGGGUUAUGUUUUUAUUUGUUGGAUUUAUGAUGUAUUAAUUAACUAUUACGUGCUCUAUCCAGAUUAAAAAUGUAAUAUCCGCUAAUAAAGUUCAUGAGAAGUCUUCUCAACAGUCACAGUAAGUCUUCUCACUGAAGUUUGUGUAGGUUAGUUUUGUAGUUGACAAUUAAAAUUUAAUUAUUUAAUUUUUGUUAGAAAUUUUUUUUUUCAUAACCAAAUGUUUGACCAUAUACGGAAUAGAAAACUAGAAGAGUUCCAGGGAAAUCUUCUUUCAAAAGAGUUCUAGACAAGUCUUCUAAUAAAAAUAUUUAAGUUUUAGCUGUCAGUUGCAAAACUAAUCUACACAGACUUCCUUCGACAGUGAGAAAACUUCCACCGACAAUAGAAAAGAUUUCACAGGAAUCUUCGGACGGAAAGCUUU